Molecule: ribosomal RNA, 408 nt
Filed under: uncultured bacterium
Lineage: Bacteria
Description: partial 16S ribosomal RNA
Rfam family: Bacterial small subunit ribosomal RNA
Source: RNAcentral
GACGAACGCUGGCGGCGUGCUUAACACAUGCAAGUCGAACGAAGUGGCGAACGUGUGAGUAACGUGUAAUCAACCCCCCCUUCAGAGGGGGACAACAGUGGGAAACGACUGCUAAUACCGAAUAGCGUAGGAGGGGAUUGCGUGGGAUUGGCUCGUUGGAGGGGUAACGGGCCACCAGGGCGAUGAUCAGGAGCCGGGCUGAUGGAAUGAACGGCCAACAUGGGACGGAGAGACGGCCCAGACUCCUAGGGGAGGCAGCAGUGGGGAAUCUUCCGAAAUGGACGAAAGUCUGACGGAGCAACGCCGCGUGAGUGAUGACGGCAUUCGGGUUGUAAAGCUCUGUUAAUCGGGACGCGGUACCGGAAUAGAAAGCCACGGCUAACUACGUGCCAGCAGCCGCGGUAAUUC